This 72-nucleotide transfer RNA is filed under the name Cricetulus griseus (Chinese hamster). It matches the Rfam family "tRNA". From Rfam's summary of the family: Transfer RNA (tRNA) molecules are approximately 80 nucleotides in length. The record is from Rfam by way of RNAcentral. Lineage: Eukaryota; Metazoa; Chordata; Mammalia; Rodentia; Cricetidae.
GUCAGUAUAGUUCAGAUGGUAGAGUGCUUGCCUGGCAAGCAGAAAGCCCUGGGCUCAAUCCCUAGCACUGCA